GACGCUCUCCCCAAGGACGAAGCCAUGCAUGCCCGCUCACCCGGGACGCGGCGGACGGCUCAGGACGACGGUUGCACCCCCCGCGGCGGUCCCUGCUAGCCGGACACCGCUGGCAACCCGGCGCCAAGACGUGCGCGCAAGGGCGGGCGCCCGCGGGCGAGCAGCGUGACGCAG
RNAcentral lists this ribosomal RNA (174 nucleotides) under Giardia duodenalis. Its description in RNAcentral is "Giardia intestinalis partial 16S ribosomal RNA". RNAcentral also lists the same sequence under 1 other name. Lineage: Eukaryota; Fornicata; Diplomonadida; Hexamitidae. The record is from RNAcentral.